This 301-nucleotide ribosomal RNA is filed under the name uncultured bacterium. RNAcentral's name for it is "partial 16S ribosomal RNA". It matches the Rfam family "Bacterial small subunit ribosomal RNA", at positions 509 to 807 of the family's 1533-position model. The record is from RNAcentral.
CAGUCGCCGCGGUAAAACGUAGGGUCCGAGCGUUGUCCGGAAUUAUUGGGCGUAAAGAGCUCGUAGGCGGUCUGUCGCGUCUGCCGUGAAAUCCUCAGGCUCAACCUGAGGCGUGCGGUGGGUACGGGCAGGCUAGAGUGCGGUAGGGGAGAAUGGAACUCCUGGUGUAGCGGUGGAAUGCGCAGAUAUCAGGAAGAACACCGAUGGCGAAGGCAGUUCUCUGGGCCGUAACUGACGCUGAGGAGCGAAAGCGUGGGGAGCGAACAGGAUUAGAGACCCCUGUAGUCCCUGUCUCUUAUAC